Molecule: unclassified non-coding RNA, 272 nt
Filed under: Moritella viscosa
Lineage: Bacteria; Pseudomonadati; Pseudomonadota; Gammaproteobacteria; Alteromonadales; Moritellaceae
Description: putative sRNA
Source: RNAcentral
UUGAAAACUAUAAGGAAAAUCAACCGGAGAUCAAAAACAAGAUCAUGGACACAAAAAAAGGAAUAACAAGAAGAAAGUUAUUGACAUAGGGAUUCUAAAGAACCUAUUAAGAGGGCUCAAUGUGAGCUAAACGAUUAAAAAAAAGGCAUUUAUAUAUAUAUCAAUAUAGAAGCUAUAAUUUGUAUUUCAUCUGCUAGCUAUUAAGAGCUGUAAAACGUACAAAAGUUCCAUUUAAUAUGUACUCAUUAUUUAGGGUUAACCUAUGAGUAUCA